GCAUUGAGCCGUACCAGUCUGAACAUGCCUGAUCUCGUCAGAUCUCAGCAGCCAUCCAGACUGGGCUUGAUUAGAACUCUUCUUGGAGACAAAGUAGGAACUACAGGUGCCAUAGGAC
Non-coding RNA from Pelobates cultripes (western spadefoot toad), 118 nucleotides. NCBI's taxonomy places the organism in Eukaryota, Metazoa, Chordata, Amphibia, Anura, Pelobatidae. The record is from the annotation of a GenBank genome assembly.